UUUUUUUUUUUUGGGUAAUUGCAAGUUUAUAUUUUUUAUUUGGUUCUUCGAGCUCUAGACACUGUGGGUACGUAUCUAUUUUCUUGGGUCUUAUGCUUUCUAAAUGCUUUACUGUUGAUUGUGUCUGAAAGAUUCAAUUUGGCUUGUUUGAGCCUAAGAUUCAAUUAGCCUUGGGCAUGUGGUGUUGUUUGUUGGGCAAAAUGUCAGCAUAGAGUUUACUGAAAUUUCAAAUUAAUUGGACUUAAUUAGACACUAGGUGAAAAUGAUUUUUAGCUUUAUGAACAUUAUUUGGUCCAUUAGCUUAAUAAGGUCAUUCUCUCAGGCUGGAUUUUUGUCUCUGUUUUCCCCAUUAUGUUCAGUUUUGCUGGUCAUAUUGUUCUUGAUGCAUGUACAGAAUCAUUCUAUAUGAAAACUGAGUCUAUGAAUUGUUAAGUCCUUCAAAUACAGGUUCUUUUGUAGAGCAUCGUCCCAGACUUAUACUCAGGUUAAUAAU
RNAcentral lists this long non-coding RNA (493 nucleotides) under Rosa chinensis. RNAcentral's name for it is "sRNA RchiOBHm_Chr4g0436481". The record is from RNAcentral. Lineage: Eukaryota; Viridiplantae; Streptophyta; Magnoliopsida; Rosales; Rosaceae.